CUGUGAAGUUUUCGUAUCUAUUAGGUUGGCCAAAAAGUUCAUUCGGGUUUGUCCUUAAGCUUUACUCGAAUGAACUUUUUGGCUAACCCGAUACAUU
This 97-nucleotide microRNA precursor is filed under the name Ovis aries (sheep). RNAcentral's name for it is "miRNA (ENSOARG00000022656.1)". The record is from RNAcentral. Lineage: Eukaryota; Metazoa; Chordata; Mammalia; Artiodactyla; Bovidae.